UGGGGAAUAUUGGACAAUGGGCGAAAGCCUGAUCCAGCAAUGCCGCGUGAGUGAUGAAGGCCUUAGGGUUGUAAAGCUCUUUUACCCGGGAUGAUAAUGACAGUACCGGGAGAAUAAGCUCCGGCUAACUUCGUGCCAGCAGCCGCGGUAAUACGAGGGGAGCUAGCGUUAUUCGGAAUUACUGGGCGUAAAGCGCACGUAGGCGGCUUUGUAAGUUAGAGGUGAAAGCCCGGGGCUCAACUCCGGAAUUGCCUUUAAGACUGCAUCGCUUGAAUCCAGGAGAGGUGAGUGGAAUUCCGAGUGUAGAGGUGAAAUUCGUAGAUAUUCGGAAGAACACCAGUGGCGAAGGCGACUUACUGGACACAUAUUGACGCUGAGGUGCGAAAGCGUGGGGAGCAAAC
This 401-nucleotide ribosomal RNA is filed under the name uncultured bacterium. RNAcentral's name for it is "bacterial SSU rRNA". It matches the Rfam family "Bacterial small subunit ribosomal RNA", at positions 355 to 773 of the family's 1533-position model. The record is from RNAcentral.